RNAcentral lists this ribosomal RNA (433 nucleotides) under uncultured bacterium. Its description in RNAcentral is "partial 16S ribosomal RNA". It matches the Rfam family "Bacterial small subunit ribosomal RNA", at positions 29 to 507 of the family's 1533-position model. The record is from RNAcentral.
AACGAACGCUGGCGGCAUGCCUAACACAUGCAAGUCGAACGAGACCUUCGGGUAUAGUUGCGCACGGGUGCGUCACGCGUGGGAACCUGCCCUUAGGUUCGGAAUACCUCCCCGACAGGGGUGCUAAUAUCGGAUAAUGUCUUCGGACCAAGGAUUCAUCGCCGUUGGGUGGGCCCGCGUUGGUUUAACAGGUUGGUAGGGUAAGAGCCUACCAAGGCUACGAUCCAUAGCUGGUCUGAGAGGAUCGGCCGCGACACUGGGGCUGAGACACGGCCCAGAAUACUGGGGAAGGGGGCAGAGGGGAAUAUUGGACAAUGGGCGGAGGGCAGAUCGAGCACUGCCGGGUGAGUGAUGAAGUUCUGAGAGUUGUAAAGCUGUUUUACCCGGGAUGAUAAUGACGGUACCGGGAGAAUAAGCACCGGCUAACUCCGUG